UGGCGGCAGGCCUAACACAUGCAAGUCGAGCGGUAACAUUUCUAGCUUGCUAGAAGAUGACGAGCGGCGGACGGGUGAGUAAUGCUUGGGAACAUGCCUUGAGGUGGGGGACAACAGUUGGAAACGACUGCUAAUACCGCAUAAUGUCUACGGACCAAAGGGGGCUUCGGCUCUCGCCUUUAGAUUGGCCCAAGUGGGAUUAGCUAGUUGGUGAGGUAAUGGCUCACCAAGGCGACGAUCCCUAGCUGGUUUGAGAGGAUGAUCAGCCACACUGGGACUGAGACACGGCCCAGACUCCUACGGGAGGCAGCAGUGGGGAAUAUUGCACAAUGGGCGCAAGCCUGAUGCAGCCAUGCCGCGUGUGUGAAGAAGGCCUUACGGGUUGUAAAGCACUUUCCAGUCAGGAGGAAAGGUUAGUAGUUAAUACCUGCUAGCUGUGACGUUACUGACAGAAGAAGC
This 459-nucleotide ribosomal RNA is filed under the name marine sediment bacterium ISA-1329. RNAcentral describes it as "bacterial SSU rRNA". It matches the Rfam family "Bacterial small subunit ribosomal RNA", at positions 37 to 491 of the family's 1533-position model. The record is from RNAcentral.